This 468-nucleotide ribosomal RNA is filed under the name uncultured bacterium. RNAcentral describes it as "partial 16S ribosomal RNA". It matches the Rfam family "Bacterial small subunit ribosomal RNA", at positions 28 to 507 of the family's 1533-position model. The record is from RNAcentral.
GACGAACGCUGGCGGCGUGCUUAACACAUGCAAGUCGAACGGAAAGGCCCUGCUUUUGUGGGGUGCUCGAGUGGCGAACGGGUGAGUAACACGUGAGUAUCCUGCCCUUGACUUUGGGAUAACUUCAGGAAACUGGGUCUAAUACCGGAUAUGAGCUCCUGCUGCAUGGUGUGGGUUGUAAAGUUUCGCCGGUUGGGGAUGGACUGGCGGCUUAUCAGCUUGUUGGUGGGGUGGUGGCUUACCAAGGCGUUGACGGGUAGCCGGCCUGAGAGGGUGACAGGGCACAGAGGGAUUGGGGUAGCGGCAAGAGGGAUACGGGAGGAAGGAGUGGAGAAUAUAGCACGAUGGGCGGAAGCAGGAUGCAGCAACGCCGGGUCGGGGAUGACGGCUGUAGGGUUGUAAACCGCUUGCGCCUGUGAAGAAGCGUGUGUGACGGUAAUGGGUAAAGAAGCAACGGCUAACUACGUG